AUGAUUACAUCUAGAGGCUUCAAGGGUUGGGCUUGCUGGAUUCGAGGGGGUGCAAUCCGCGAGUUCAAUCUGCCCCAUGAUAGUGCCGCUCCGGCAGCAGCAGCGCGUCCGGAAUACCCGACGGUGGUAGAUGUCAAACUGAAGACGGAAUUGAAGAAGAUGAACAAGAACUUCAAGCAGCUGCUUGAGUUGAAGAAGCAAUCCAAUCUGAUAGCUUUAGGAAUACUUGCUCUAGGAAUUUUUUACUUGAUGGCCAUCUCUCGUUAG
Molecule: ribosomal RNA, 267 nt
Filed under: Triticum aestivum (bread wheat)
Lineage: Eukaryota; Viridiplantae; Streptophyta; Magnoliopsida; Poales; Poaceae
Description: partial small subunit ribosomal RNA
Source: RNAcentral